Molecule: ribosomal RNA, 2933 nt
Filed under: Escherichia coli
Lineage: Bacteria; Pseudomonadati; Pseudomonadota; Gammaproteobacteria; Enterobacterales; Enterobacteriaceae
Description: 23S ribosomal RNA
Rfam family: Bacterial large subunit ribosomal RNA
Source: RNAcentral
GGGUUGUGAGGUUAAGCGACUAAGCGUACACGGUGGAUGCCCUGGCAGUCAGAGGCGAUGAAGGACGUGCUAAUCUGCGAUAAGCGUCGGUAAGGUGAUAUGAACCGUUAUAACCGGCGAUUUCCGAAUGGGGAAACCCAGUGUGUUUCGACACACUAUCAUUAACUGAAUCCAUAGGUUAAUGAGGCGAACCGGGGGAACUGAAACAUCUAAGUACCCCGAGGAAAAGAAAUCAACCGAGAUUCCCCCAGUAGCGGCGAGCGAACGGGGAGCAGCCCAGAGCCUGAAUCAGUGUGUGUGUUAGUGGAAGCGUCUGGAAAGGCGCGCGAUACAGGGUGACAGCCCCGUACACAAAAAUGCACAUGCUGUGAGCUCGAUGAGUAGGGCGGGACACGUGGUAUCCUGUCUGAAUAUGGGGGGACCAUCCUCCAAGGCUAAAUACUCCUGACUGACCGAUAGUGAACCAGUACCGUGAGGGAAAGGCGAAAAGAACCCCGGCGAGGGGAGUGAAAAAGAACCUGAAACCGUGUACGUACAAGCAGUGGGAGCACGCUUCGGCGUGUGACUGCGUACCUUUUGUAUAAUGGGUCAGCGACUUAUAUUCUGUAGCAAGGUUAACCGAAUAGGGGAGCCGAAGGGAAACCGAGUCUUAACUGGGCGUUAAGUUGCAGGGUAUAGACCCGAAACCCGGUGAUCUAGCCAUGGGCAGGUUGAAGGUUGGGUAACACUAACUGGAGGACCGAACCGACUAAUGUUGAAAAAUUAGCGGAUGACUUGUGGCUGGGGGUGAAAGGCCAAUCAAACCGGGAGAUAGCUGGUUCUCCCCGAAAGCUAUUUAGGUAGCGCCUCGUGAAUUCAUCUCCGGGGGUAGAGCACUGUUUCGGCAAGGGGGUCAUCCCGACUUACCAACCCGAUGCAAACUGCGAAUACCGGAGAAUGUUAUCACGGGAGACACACGGCGGGUGCUAACGUCCGUCGUGAAGAGGGAAACAACCCAGACCGCCAGCUAAGGUCCCAAAGUCAUGGUUAAGUGGGAAACGAUGUGGGAAGGCCCAGACAGCCAGGAUGUUGGCUUAGAAGCAGCCAUCAUUUAAAGAAAGCGUAAUAGCUCACUGGUCGAGUCGGCCUGCGCGGAAGAUGUAACGGGGCUAAACCAUGCACCGAAGCUGCGGCAGCGACGCUUAUGCGUUGUUGGGUAGGGGAGCGUUCUGUAAGCCUGUGAAGGUGUGCUGUGAGGCAUGCUGGAGGUAUCAGAAGUGCGAAUGCUGACAUAAGUAACGAUAAAGCGGGUGAAAAGCCCGCUCGCCGGAAGACCAAGGGUUCCUGUCCAACGUUAAUCGGGGCAGGGUGAGUCGACCCCUAAGGCGAGGCCGAAAGGCGUAGUCGAUGGGAAACAGGUUAAUAUUCCUGUACUUGGUGUUACUGCGAAGGGGGGACGGAGAAGGCUAUGUUGGCCGGGCGACGGUUGUCCCGGUUUAAGCGUGUAGGCUGGUUUUCCAGGCAAAUCCGGAAAAUCAAGGCUGAGGCGUGAUGACGAGGCACUACGGUGCUGAAGCAACAAAUGCCCUGCUUCCAGGAAAAGCCUCUAAGCAUCAGGUAACAUCAAAUCGUACCCCAAACCGACACAGGUGGUCAGGUAGAGAAUACCAAGGCGCUUGAGAGAACUCGGGUGAAGGAACUAGGCAAAAUGGUGCCGUAACUUCGGGAGAAGGCACGCUGAUAUGUAGGUGAAGUCCCUUGCGGAUGGAGCUGAAAUCAGUCGAAGAUACCAGCUGGCUGCAACUGUUUAUUAAAAACACAGCACUGUGCAAACACGAAAGUGGACGUAUACGGUGUGACGCCUGCCCGGUGCCGGAAGGUUAAUUGAUGGGGUUAGCGGUAACGCGAAGCUCUUGAUCGAAGCCCCGGUAAACGGCGGCCGUAACUAUAACGGUCCUAAGGUAGCGAAAUUCCUUGUCGGGUAAGUUCCGACCUGCACGAAUGGCGUAAUGAUGGCCAGGCUGUCUCCACCCGAGACUCAGUGAAAUUGAACUCGCUGUGAAGAUGCAGUGUACCCGCGGCAAGACGGAAAGACCCCGUGAACCUUUACUAUAGCUUGACACUGAACAUUGAGCCUUGAUGUGUAGGAUAGGUGGGAGGCUUUGAAGUGUGGACGCCAGUCUGCAUGGAGCCGACCUUGAAAUACCACCCUUUAAUGUUUGAUGUUCUAACGUGGACCCGUGAUCCGGGUUGCGGACAGUGUCUGGUGGGUAGUUUGACUGGGGCGGUCUCCUCCUAAAGAGUAACGGAGGAGCACGAAGGUUGGCUAAUCCUGGUCGGACAUCAGGAGGUUAGUGCAAUGGCAUAAGCCAGCUUGACUGCGAGCGUGACGGCGCGAGCAGGUGCGAAAGCAGGUCAUAGUGAUCCGGUGGUUCUGAAUGGAAGGGCCAUCGCUCAACGGAUAAAAGGUACUCCGGGGAUAACAGGCUGAUACCGCCCAAGAGUUCAUAUCGACGGCGGUGUUUGGCACCUCGAUGUCGGCUCAUCACAUCCUGGGGCUGAAGUAGGUCCCAAGGGUAUGGCUGUUCGCCAUUUAAAGUGGUACGCGAGCUGGGUUUAGAACGUCGUGAGACAGUUCGGUCCCUAUCUGCCGUGGGCGCUGGAGAACUGAGGGGGGCUGCUCCUAGUACGAGAGGACCGGAGUGGACGCAUCACUGGUGUUCGGGUUGUCAUGCCAAUGGCACUGCCCGGUAGCUAAAUGCGGAAGAGAUAAGUGCUGAAAGCAUCUAAGCACGAAACUUGCCCCGAGAUGAGUUCUCCCUGACUCCUUGAGAGUCCUGAAGGAACGUUGAAGACGACGACGUUGAUAGGCCGGGUGUGUAAGCGCAGCGAUGCGUUGAGCUAACCGGUACUAAUGAACCGUGAGGCUUAACCUUACAACGCCGAAGGUGUUU